UUUGUUUCAUUGAUAUUUUUAAGUAGCAUUCCCUUAUUUUGGAAUAUUGUUCAUUUGUUCUUCCCUCAUGUUAUUGGCUGGUAUUCUUAACAGGAUCCUAAGAGUUCAAAGUCAAAAGUUAUUCAUGAUAACAGAAGUGAAAAGGAAUUGAAGACAAAAAAGGUUGUUCAUGAACCUAAGCCUUCUGCCUCAGAGAAGCUUGUUCCUAAAGCACGUCAGAAUGCAAACAGGCCCAAGCAGGUUGAGAAUUCAACUAAGUCAGGCAUGAAACAAAGCUUGGCUGUGUUCAAUUUCAAAAGUGAGGAACGGGCAGAAAGGAGGAAAGAGGCAAGA
This is a long non-coding RNA of Camellia sinensis, 333 nucleotides long. RefSeq lists it as uncharacterized. NCBI's taxonomy places the organism in Eukaryota, Viridiplantae, Streptophyta, Magnoliopsida, Ericales, Theaceae. The record is from RefSeq and is a predicted model, not a curated record.